AUACGGAGGGUCCAAGCGUUAUCCGGAUUCAUUGGGUUUAAAGGGUUCGUAGGCGGAUAAAUAAGUCAGUGGUGAAAUCCCGAAGCUCAACUUCGGAACUGCCAUUGAAACUGUUUAUCUUGAAUUUAGUUGAAGUGGGCGGAAUAUGACAUGUAGCGGUGAAAUGCAUAGAUAUGUCACGGAACACCAAUAGUGAAGACAGCUCACUAAGCUAAUAUUGACGCUGAUGAACGAAAGCAUGGGUAGCGAACAGGAUUAGAAACCCUAGUAGUCC
RNAcentral lists this ribosomal RNA (274 nucleotides) under uncultured bacterium. RNAcentral's name for it is "partial 16S ribosomal RNA". It matches the Rfam family "Bacterial small subunit ribosomal RNA", at positions 523 to 796 of the family's 1533-position model. The record is from RNAcentral.